Molecule: long non-coding RNA, 339 nt
Organism: Sinocyclocheilus rhinocerous
Lineage: Eukaryota; Metazoa; Chordata; Actinopteri; Cypriniformes; Cyprinidae
Exons: 4
Source: RefSeq, a predicted model, not a curated record
GCCUACUUGGAUAGCAUGAGAACUCCAUCUUUUGGGCAUCAUUUUCGUGGUAAUGACAGAGGUUGUACUGGUACAUUUAUUGAUCUCCUCGUCUAGUGAUUCAGAUGCUUGGGGCCUUUGUGUUCUUUGUGCAAGGAGUUCUGUGAACUUAUGAUUCGUAUGAUAACUUGAGACUGCUCAACUCUACAGACGUACAGUACAGAGAGCUUCACUGGCCUUGCACGCUGCUGAGAGUGAAUGGGAAUUCAACUCAAGACAUGCUGGUUAAAUGAAAGCGUAUAAUGGACAAGGUGGAUGACAAUUUCAAUUGCCUGGAAGGUAAAAGCUGGAAUGUUUGGA